This 567-nucleotide ribosomal RNA is filed under the name uncultured bacterium. Its description in RNAcentral is "bacterial SSU rRNA". It matches the Rfam family "Bacterial small subunit ribosomal RNA", at positions 118 to 720 of the family's 1533-position model. The record is from RNAcentral.
UGGGUAUCUACCCUUUGGUCUGGAAUAACACGAGGAAACUUGUGCUAAUACCGGAUAAGCCUUCACAGGGAAAGUUUUAAUGCCAAAAGAUGAGCCCGCACUUGAUUAGCUAGUUGGUAAGGUAAUAGCUUACCAAGGCAACGAUCAAUAGCUGUUCUUAGAGGAAGACCAGCCACAUUGGGACUGAGACACGGCCCAAACUCCUACGGGAGGCAGCAGUGGGGAAUCUUGCACAAUGGGGGCAACCCUGAUGCAGCGAUGCCGCGUGAGUGAAGAAGGCCUUUGGGUUGUAAAACUCUUUCGUCGGGGAAGAAAAUGACUGUACCCGAAUAAGAAGGUCCGGCUAACUUCGUGCCAGCAGCCGCGGUAAUACGAAGGGACCUAGCGUAGUUCGGAAUUACUGGGCUUAAAGAGCUCGUAGGUGGUUAAAAAAGUUGAUGGUGAAAUCCCAAGGCUCAACCUUGGAACUGCCAUCAAAACUUUUUAGCUAGAGUAUGAUAGAGGAAAGUGGAAUUUCUAGUGUAGAGGUGAAAUUCGUAGAUAUUAGAAAGAACAUCAAAAGCGAAG